UGGGGAAUAUUGCACAAUGGGCGCAAGCCUGAUGCAGCGACGCCGCGUGGGGGAUGACGGCCUUCGGGUUGUAAACCUCUUUCACCAUCGACGAAGGUCCGGGUUUUCUCGGAUUGACGGUAGGUGGAGAAGAAGCACCGGCCAACUACGUGCCAGCAGCCGCGGUAAUACGUAGGGUGCGAGCGUUGUCCGGAAUUACUGGGCGUAAAGAGCUCGUAGGUGGUUUGUCGCGUUGUUCGUGAAAUCUCACGGCUUAACUGUGAGCGUGCGGGCGAUACGGGCAGACAAGAGUACUGCAGGGGAGACUGGAAUUCCUGGUGUAGCGGUGGAAUGCGCAGAUAUCAGGAGGAACACCGGUGGCGAAGGCGGGUCUCUGGGCAGUAACUGACGCUGAGGAGCGAAAGCGUGGGGAGCGAACA
RNAcentral lists this ribosomal RNA (419 nucleotides) under uncultured bacterium. RNAcentral's name for it is "partial 16S ribosomal RNA". It matches the Rfam family "Bacterial small subunit ribosomal RNA", at positions 355 to 774 of the family's 1533-position model. The record is from RNAcentral.